UACGGGGCGCAGCAGGCGCGAAAACUUCACACUGCAGGAAACUGUGAUGAGGGAACUCCAAGUGACUGCACAAUGUGUAGCCUUUUCAUGAAUCUUAAUAGUUCUUGGAAUAAGGGCUGGGAAAGACCGGUGCCAGCAGCCGCGGCGCAGCAGGCGCGAAAACUUCACACUGCAGGAAACUGUGAUGAGGGAACUCCAAGUGACUGCACAUUGUGUAGCCUUUUCUCAACUAUUAAUCGGUUGUGGAAUAAGGGCUGGGAAAGACCGGUGCCAGCAGCCGCGGUAAU
Molecule: ribosomal RNA, 287 nt
Filed under: uncultured marine archaeon
Lineage: Archaea
Description: partial 16S ribosomal RNA
Rfam family: Archaeal small subunit ribosomal RNA
Source: RNAcentral